AUGCCCGAUCCAAUCCAGCCACACCGAACCAUCCAUCUCCUCCAUCCAAUGAAGCCAACCCAUCACUGCAGUCUCCUACUCCUCCUGCCGAGCUACCACGUCCGCAGCGACGCCAUGCCCGAGCCCCGCUGCCUCCUCUGCUUCCUGAGCGCCACCGCAGGAAUAGAUGCAGGCCCCUUCCUUGUCCCCUUAUUCCGCCAAGCCACCCGAGCGCGUCGCCUCACCGACCCGACUGUCGCUCCCUUCGGCGGCCUCGCUCGUCAGCGUCCACACCACCAGAAGGAGCCUCACGACGACACCAUGGAUGGCUGCGGCCCGAGCUCGCGUCCGUCACUACAACAGAGUCACCACCGGAGCGCGAUCGCCCUUCCACCGCCGUCGAGCGCCACUGCAGGAGGCAAGCUCCACGCCAUGGCCUCCCCUGCUCGCCAUUGCCACAGCUCGCCCCGCUGUCCAGAUCAGGCCGGGAACCGCCUCCCCGCCGCCCUCUCGUCCGGACCCUGCCACCGUCAGAUCUCCGGAGCGCAACGCCAGGGACCUCCCCAUCGCGCCAAGUUCCUACGCCCGCGGCCCCCUGCCUUGACCGCCUCCUGUUCGUCAGGAGAUGAUGAGCGCCUCGAGCUUUGCCUGCCUCGUCUCCAUCCAUCGCCGGUUGCCUCCCCGACCCGCCGCUUCUCGCGCCCUGCCUCACGCCUGAGCGUCACGAGCGAGCGCGGGCUCCUGUGCCUUCCGCGUCGUCCCGACCUCCUCCAACCGUCGCCCUCUGCUUCGAGAUGCCGUCCGUGCCUCGAUGUCCUCCAAGACCGGCCGGAUCCAUCUUCUCGCGCUUGGGCCUGCCCGUCCGCUCCAUCCCGCCGCUCGCCGGAGACCCAGGCGUCCCUGUGGUCGCCGUUGACUGCGUGCGAGCUCGACCCUUGCCUUCUGUCGCGUCCUCAUUCGAGUGCUCGAGCACCGCCCCGCGUUGGCCGUUCGAGUGCCAGCAUGGACAAGUGCCGCGUCGCCCAUGCGAGCCCUACUCUGCUUCGCCGUGGGCCGCCAGAUCCGCCCCGCUGGACCUCCUCUCCGACGCUGGGCCUUAGCCCAUGGAUUCAUUUUGUUCUGGAGUUUUGA
RNAcentral lists this ribosomal RNA (1110 nucleotides) under Triticum aestivum (bread wheat). Its description in RNAcentral is "partial small subunit ribosomal RNA". The record is from RNAcentral. Lineage: Eukaryota; Viridiplantae; Streptophyta; Magnoliopsida; Poales; Poaceae.